UGGUUAUAUUCCAAUACCGACUAUGGAGCGUGAUGGGGGGACGCAUAGGGUUAAGCGAGCUAGCUGAUGGAAGCGCUAGUCUAAGGGCGUAGAUUGGAGGGAAGGCAAAUCCACCUCUGUAUUUGAAACCCAAACAGGCUCUUUGAGUCCUUUUAGGACAAAGGGAGAAUCGCUGAUACCGUCGUGCCAAGAAAAGCCUCUAAGCAUAUCCAUAGUCGUCCGUACCGCAAACCGACACAGGUAGAUGAGAUGAGUAUUCUAAGGCGCGUGAAAGAACUCUGGUUAAGGAACUCUGCAAACUAGCACCGUAAGUUCGCGAUAAGGUGUGCCACAGCGAUGUGGUCUCAGCAAAGAGUCCCUCCCGACUGUUUACCAAAAACACAGCACUUUGCCAACUCGUAAGAGGAAGUAUAAGGUGUGACGCCUGCCCGGUGCUCGAAGGUUAAGAGGAUGCGUCAGUCGCAAGAUGAAGCGUUGAAUUGAAGCCCGAGUAAACGGCGGCCGUAACUAUAACGGUCCUAAGGUAGCGAAAUUCCUUGUCGGUUAAAUACCGACCUGCAUGAAUGGCGUAACGAGAUGGGAGCUGUCUCAACCAGAGAUUCAGUGAAAUUGUAGUGGAGGUGAAAAUUCCUCCUACCCGCGGCAAGACGGAAAGACCCCGUGGACCUUU
This 670-nucleotide ribosomal RNA is filed under the name Helicobacter pylori. RNAcentral describes it as "bacterial LSU rRNA". It matches the Rfam family "Bacterial large subunit ribosomal RNA", at positions 1427 to 2102 of the family's 2925-position model. Lineage: Bacteria; Pseudomonadati; Campylobacterota; Epsilonproteobacteria; Campylobacterales; Helicobacteraceae. The record is from RNAcentral.